CGUCCACCCAUGCUGUGACCGCGUCCCUUGGGGUCCACUUUCGGCCUUGCCCGAUGAAGAUGUUCUCGCCGUAAUUUUGAGCCGGAGAGUGAACUAGAGCACAGUCAUGACGCCUUUGGUUCGAGUAUACACGUGCGAAUGUGGCUAGGGCAGAGUCCCACUUAAGUGCUGGGACUUCAACCACUCUCCUGGCGCUGUUGUGGGCCUCCAUGAACUGUUUGAUCAGGUCGGCCUUGUUGGCCCGCGCAUCCACGGUGUUGAUUGAGCUAAUCAAGAAGGUUAAUGACAAAGAUAUGAAAAGGGUGGUCAGUUUCAGUGAAAACGGAGCCAUUGGUUGUGAAGAUGUGUAGGAUAAUGAAAGAAGCUCCUUUUGGGUUUUGUUUGUUGAGUGUGUGGUUGUGGUGGGGUGGUGGGCCUUGUUUAAAUAGAGGCCUGAAAUGGAGAGCUAUAGGAGAGUAGAGGUUUUAGUUGCUUUGGAGCUAAGUAUGGAAGGGUUUUUUUUGUAAAAGUUGAAUUAAGAAAAUGGGUCUGGGUUCAUUUGAUCAGGUGAUUGAAGUUGUGUAACGUGGAAGAAAUCUGGCCUUUGGAUUGUCUGUUUUGCACUUUUGUGUGCGCGGGAGACGCUUCGCGUCUACUAUUUGCUUUGUAGCCGUUUGCUUCGUUUGAGAGAUUCGAAUUUCACAUUUGAAA
This is a long non-coding RNA of Magnolia sinica, 690 nucleotides long. RefSeq lists it as uncharacterized. The record is from RefSeq and is a predicted model, not a curated record. The transcript is spliced from 2 exons. Lineage: Eukaryota; Viridiplantae; Streptophyta; Magnoliopsida; Magnoliales; Magnoliaceae.